This 468-nucleotide ribosomal RNA is filed under the name uncultured bacterium. RNAcentral describes it as "partial 16S ribosomal RNA". It matches the Rfam family "Bacterial small subunit ribosomal RNA", at positions 28 to 507 of the family's 1533-position model. The record is from RNAcentral.
GACGAACGCUGGCGGCGUGCUUAACACAUGCAAGUCGAACGGAAAGGCCCUGCUUUUGUGGGUCUCUCGAGUGGCGAACGGGUGAGUAACACGUGAGUAUCCUGCCCUUGUCUUUGUGAUAACUUCAGGAGACUGCGGCUAAUACAGCAUAUGAUCUCCUGCAGCGUGGGGGGGGUUGGAGAGUGUCGGCGGUUGUGGAUGGACUCGCGGCUUAUGAGCUGGUUGGUGGGGUAGGGGCUUACCAAGGCUUUGACGGGUAGACGGCCUGAGAGGGUGAACGGCCACAUUGGGACUACGAUACGGACCAGACUCCUACGGGAGGCAGUAGUGGAGAGUAUUGCACAAUGGGGGGAAGCCUGAUGCAGAAAUCCCGCGUGCGGGAUGACGGCCUACAGGUUGUAAACCGCUUUCGCCUGUGACGAAGCGUGAGUGACGGUAAUGGGUAAAGAAGCACCGGCUAACUACGUG